This 1327-nucleotide unclassified non-coding RNA is filed under the name Hevea brasiliensis (rubber tree). Lineage: Eukaryota; Viridiplantae; Streptophyta; Magnoliopsida; Malpighiales; Euphorbiaceae. The record is from RNAcentral.
GUAAAACAUAUAUGGAUAACAGAAAUCUCUCUGUUGCAAAUACACGUGACAUAAACAUUUUGUAUGUUUCCUGAAUACAAAGAUAUGAAGGUCAACCUUAAACAUGGUUCCCUCUACUGAUCACACAAGGUUAUAAAGAUAUGAUAACGAGGAGAAUUUGACUGAAAAAGAUGAAGAAAAUCAGAAAUUGACGAUGAACAUACACAGAAACAAUUCCGUAUUAACAGCUGUGACUACUUGAACCAAGUAGGCCGGAACCUCAUACAGCAACUGCUGCAGGCCUUUUGCUUGUCUUGAUCCCUUUAAUAGCUUCAGCAUAAUCAGGAGCUCCAAAGACAGCAGAACCUGCUACCAAGGCAUUGGCUCCGGCUUCAAUGACCUUGUAAGCAUUUUUGGGACCAACUCCACCAUCAACUUCAAUCCAAGGGUUUACUCCCUUCUCAGCACAUAUUUUUCUCAAGUCUGAGAUUUUCUUGACCUGACUCUCAAUGAAGCUCUGUCCCCCAAAUCCAGGGUUUACAGACAUAAUCAGCACCAGAUCAACAGCAUCAAGGACAUAUUCAAUUGCGGUUAAAGGGGUUCCAGGAUUGAGGACAACCCCAGCUUUAGCUCCCAAACUUUUAAUCUGGUUUAUUGUACGAUGCAAGUGGAUUGUAGAAGAUUGCUCACAAUGAACACUGACAAUAUCAGCACCUGCUUUUAUGAAGUCAGGUACUCUCUGGUCAGGUUCGACAAUCAUCAGAUGCACAUCCAGUGGAAGAUCUGUGAUAGGGCGCAAGGAAUCAACUACAAGGGGUCCAAUAGUUAUAUUUGGAACAAAUCGACCAUCCAUCACAUCUACAUGAAUCCAGUCGCAGCCUGCCUGCUCAACUGCUUUCACCUGCUCUCCUAAUUUAGAAAAGUUAGCAGAAAGGAUGGAUGGAGAAACAAUAAUGUCGCUUUUCGAGAACUUAUCCACCCGAGAAGAAGCUGUCACCACAGUUUGAAUUCUCCUCCUGGUGAAAGUGAGUGAAUUGGGGUUGGAGAAAGAAAUCUUUUGACUCCCGCCAAAUCCACUAAUUUGGGAUUGUAACAGAGUUGAUGAACCCAAAGAAGAAGCAGUCGCCAUUGAUUGUUUUUUUUUAAAAUUUUCUUGAAGCAAACUUUUGCCUUGUUGAAAAUUGAGAAUAAAGGUUGGUACUUUGUCAAUUUGAAAGCACCAAAGCUCAAAAUUCCAACCACCACUUUGAAGACAAGAACCGAAAACUGUUGUAAUUUUGAGGAAAAUCAAGAAUGAAAUAUCAGGUGGACACGUGUCCGAUUUGGUUUGUCAUAGAGGGCUUUGCUU